This 621-nucleotide long non-coding RNA is filed under the name Phasianus colchicus (ring-necked pheasant). RNAcentral's name for it is "lncRNA (ENSPCLG00000000705.1)". The record is from RNAcentral. Lineage: Eukaryota; Metazoa; Chordata; Aves; Galliformes; Phasianidae.
CAGAAGCUCUUUACUUAGCAGAACACCACACAGCCCAGCAGUUGCUUGUCACAGCUGUAAUUAGAUUAUAUCAAACCAGCAGUGUUGAAACAUUGCAUUGCCUCACUCAGCUGUAACUCCUGAGCUCCUCCAAAGCCCUGAGCUUUCCACAGUGAUACCUAGGGAGGAGAGUGGUGGUGGUGGGAGACAAGUGAUGAUGGGUCAUACCCUGGGAGGUGUUAAAACACACUGGUCAGCUCUUCUCUUUCUCUGGCUGCCCUCUCUAGUUAGAGGGGCUCUGCAUAUUGCAGGGAGCAUUCAGCAUCAGGCAGCUAUGCAGCCAUCCGUUAUGCUGAAGCUCUGCUGGCCCCAAGAAGACUGCUUCAGAACACAGGGGACAGAUUUACAAAUCCAUUUUCGUAGUUUAAUGUGCUUCUUUCUAAAAUGAGUUUUUCUUUUAAUUUACCCCCAGGGCUGGGUCUUCAGAUCUCAUACCCGCUGACGCGUUAUAAAGUAAAAUAAUGCCCAGCCAAACUGCUGGUACAAUGAAAAGAAAUUAUUCUACUCUGUUACUUUGUUUAUAACUUUCUACAUUUGAGAGGAGAUGAAAGUUGUUGAGCUUGCAUCCUUGGAGAAUAAAAU